Molecule: non-coding RNA, 57 nt
Filed under: Scrippsiella hangoei
Lineage: Eukaryota; Dinophyceae; Peridiniales; Peridiniaceae
Source: RNAcentral
CUCUGCACCAAGGCACCCCCGAAGCGAAGGCGCCGCUGCCCCUCACCAUCUCGAGAU